This 253-nucleotide ribosomal RNA is filed under the name uncultured bacterium. Its description in RNAcentral is "partial 16S ribosomal RNA". It matches the Rfam family "Bacterial small subunit ribosomal RNA", at positions 524 to 776 of the family's 1533-position model. The record is from RNAcentral.
UACGUAGGGUGCAAGCGUUGUCCGGAAUUAUUGGGCGUAAAGAGCUCGUAGGCGGUUUGUCGCGUCUGCUGUGAAAAUCCAGGGCUUAACCCUGGACCUGCAGUGGGUACGGGCAGACUAGAGUGCGGUAGGGGAGAUCGGAAUUCCUGGUGUAGCGGUGAAAUGCGCAGAUAUCAGGAGGAACACCGAUGGCGAAGGCAGCUCGCUGGGACGGUACUGACGCUGAGGCGCGAAAGCGUGGGGAGCAAACAGG